UGCGCGCGCUCGCGUCCUGCCGGGAAGUGUAGUUCGCAGUCGAGGUGCGCGGGGCCGGGACCUGAAAAGGUGGGAGCCGGGCGGCGUGGCAGGGCCUGGAGGAGGCGCCCGCUGCCGCCUCCGCGCCCACGUGCGCGCUCCUGCCCCUCCACCCCGCCCCCUCCGGGACAGAUGCCUCACUGGGUAGGUCAAGUCACCGCUCUGAGCCUCACUCUCCUCCCCCGUGAAAUGGGGAUCGGAUACAGCCCACGGGCUUGCAGUGAGCACGGAAUGAGAUAAUAGAUAGGAGGCAAGGGUUGUGAAAUACGCCUGGGCUUUGGAGUCAGACGGGUUUGAAUUCAGCCCGCAUCCCUCGCUGGGCCAUCUAGGGCAAGUCACUUGUAUGACUAAGCUUCGGCUUAGAUAUGGAGAUAAUAGCACCUACUUCAGGAGCAUUUUGUGAGGAUGAUAUUACAUAAUCUAUUUAAAACGCGUAGCACACAGCAGGCACCUAGUAAGUGUGUUUUCUCUACGUUUCUCAGGUUAAAGGCGAGGUUUCCCCUGGAACUCUGAGCUUCAUCUCUGGUUACCAGUUCUUUACAGGGAUCCACUCAGCACCCUACCCCGCAGCGUCCAGCUUGAAGGGUCUAAGGAGGCAAGACCAGUCCUGUUUCUUCCCCUCAGGCACCAAGAGGGAAAAGUCCAAAGCAGCCACCGAACAAAUCAGAAUCCUCGACUUUUACCUAAAGAAAACCUGUGACAUGCUCUCUAGUCACCUGGUGGACUUAAGGGCCUUGCUGUGCAAACUGCCCCCCCCCACCCUACCCCCGACACAGAGGGCACCCUGGAAAAUGUAAACACCUGGGCUUCCUAGCUUUCUUACCUGACCUCUAUAGGAGGAGUGAAACUGGGGGGCUGGGGAGACGAGCCUGAGGACAGCCCACCCUGUCUGACCACUGUGCCUGCCGUGAAGAGAAGCAAUGCUAUAUAUGACAGUCACAGCUGAAACCGCAGAACAUAUUCUGGUCUCCCUACAAGGAUCUGCAGUGGGACUGUUCCUCCUCACCUUCUAAGCUUCCAGUACUUUGUGGUGGAAAACAGUAUUUGCUGAUUUUUAUGACCAUUGUGAUGCCCAAUGUGUUAGUCCUUCAGUUGUGUCCAACUCUAUGACCCCAUGGACUGUGGCCCACUAGGCUCCUCUGUCCAGGGGAUUCUCCAGGCAAGAAUACUGGAG
This 1213-nucleotide long non-coding RNA is filed under the name Capra hircus (goat). RNAcentral describes it as "lncRNA (ENSCHIG00010001850.1)". The record is from RNAcentral. Lineage: Eukaryota; Metazoa; Chordata; Mammalia; Artiodactyla; Bovidae.